This 468-nucleotide ribosomal RNA is filed under the name uncultured bacterium. Its description in RNAcentral is "partial 16S ribosomal RNA". It matches the Rfam family "Bacterial small subunit ribosomal RNA", at positions 28 to 507 of the family's 1533-position model. The record is from RNAcentral.
GACGAACGCUGGCGGCGUGCUUAACACAUGCCAGUCGAACGGAAAGGCCCUGCUUUUGUGGGGUGCUCGAGUGGCGAACGGGUGAGUAACACGUGAGUAACCUGCCCUUGACUUUGGGAUAACUUCAGGAAACUGGGGCUAAUACCGGAUAGGAGCUCCUGCUGCAUGGUGGGGGUUGGAAAGUUUCGGCGGUUGGGGAUGGACUCGCGGCUUAUCAGCUUGUUGGUGGGGUAGUGGCUUACCAAGGCUUUGACGGGUAGCCGGCCUGAGAGGGUGACCGGCCACAUUGGGACUGAGAUACGGCCCAGACGCCUACGGGAGGCAGCAGUGGGGAAUAUUGCACAAUGGGCGGAAGCCGGAUGCAGCAACGCCGCGUGGGGGAUGACGGCCUUCGGGUUGUAAACCGCUUUCGCCUGUGACGAAGCGUGAGUGACGGUAAUGGGUAAAGAAGCACCGGCUAACUACGUG